CCAAAGGGGCAUCCGCUCCGUUGAUUACGUCCCUGCCCUUUGUACACACCGCCCGUCGCUACUACCGAUUGAAUGGCUUAGUGAGACUCUCGGAUCGGGUUUUAGGAACCGGUAACGGAUCCUUUUUUCUGAGAAGUUUGUCAAACUUGGUCAUUUAGAGGAAGUAAAAGUCGUAACAAGGUUUCCGUAGGUGAACCUGCGGAAGGAUCAUUAAAAAUUUUUUGUAUUCAAAAUUUCAAUCUUUAUAAAAGUUAAUUUUUAUUUAUAUAAAAUAAAAAAAAACAACUUUCAACAACGGAUCUCUUGGGUCUUGCGUCUAUGAAAAAAGCACCGAAAUGCGAUAAGUAAUGUGAAUUGCAGAAAUCCGUGAAUCAUCAAAUCUUUGAACGCAAAUUGCACUCUUUGGUAUUCCGAAAAGAAUGCUUGCUUGAGGGUUGUUCUAAUAAUAUCGCUUUUUUUUAUAAAAAAAAAAAAACAGAGUUUCUCAAGUUUUUUAUAACUUUUGUAACUUUUAAAUUUACUUUUCGAUAUUAAAUAUUUAUUGGGAAAGGUGUAACUUGCCACUUCUGAGUUUCGUUAACAAUUAUUUACUAAAUCGUUAGAGCGGGGGAUUUACCUAAUUUUUUAUAAUUGGGGGAUAUAUAAUACAAAAUUUUUUUCUUACCUCAACGCACGUAAGAUUACCCCCUCACCCUAGCAUAUCUUAAUCGGAGGGAAGAAAAAAAAAGAUUCCUUUUUACAGCGAGAGAGUGGGAAAGCCAAAUUUUAAUCUCCCCGCCCCCUGGUGAUUGUAUUUGUAAAAGAGUAUGACUUCGCGUCGAUUAAAACUUUGGAUAGGAUCUAAAGGGUAGAGCCCGCUCUCAUUAUCCCUGACGUGAUAUUACUUUCACAUCCAGUGUUUGGGUUGCGCUCAAACGGGGGGAAUUCACUCCGCCAUAUUUCAUAGACCAUACCACACUACCCGGGGGAAGGAAAAACUUUAAAUUAGUAAAAUACCGGAUUUUAAAAGGACGGUAAACCCCCCUUGGUGGAAAAAAUAAAAUAGGGGUACCCUGCCUUCGGGCGUGCUACUCCGGGAGCCAAUCCGUUCCUAAAAAAAGAAAGGGAUUCCUUCAAAGAUAAACCCCCAAUGGGGUGGGUAGGAUGGCCGAACCUUCCUUGCCCGGCUGGAUGGCCCCCCCACUUGACUGGGGGGGAUUCAAUUNGGGAGAAUCCAAGGGGGAGGGUUCACCCUUACACGAAACCNAAGNAAAUUAUUUAAAAA
Molecule: unclassified non-coding RNA, 1264 nt
Filed under: Acaulospora delicata
Lineage: Eukaryota; Fungi; Glomeromycota; Glomeromycetes; Diversisporales; Acaulosporaceae
Description: partial contains 18S rRNA, ITS1, 5.8S rRNA, ITS2 and 28S rRNA
Rfam family: Eukaryotic small subunit ribosomal RNA (bases 1-213)
Source: RNAcentral